UACCAGCUCUCCGAGUGGUGUGGAUGUUUAUUGGGCCUAAAGCAUCCGUAGCUUGCUAAGCAAGUCCCCUGUUAAAUCCACCGAUUCAAUCGGUGGAUUGCGGGGGAUACUGUUUGGCUAGGGGACGGGAGAGGCCGACGGUAUUUCCGGGGUAGGGGUGAAAUCCUAUAAUCCCGGGAAGACCACCAGUGGCGAAGGCUGUCGGCUAGAACGCGCCCGACGGUGAGGGAUGAAAGCUGGGGGAGCGAACCGGAUUAGAUACCCGGGUAGUCCCAGCUGUAAACGAUGCAGGCUAGGUGUUUGGGCGGCCACGAGCCGCUCUAGUGCCGCAGGGAAGCUGUUAAGCCUGCCGCCUGGGGAGUACGGCCGCAAGGCUGAAACUUAAAGGAAUUGGCGGGGGAGCACCACAAGGGGUGAAGCUUGCGGUUU
This 429-nucleotide ribosomal RNA is filed under the name uncultured archaeon. RNAcentral's name for it is "bacterial SSU rRNA". It matches the Rfam family "Archaeal small subunit ribosomal RNA", at positions 474 to 903 of the family's 1478-position model. The record is from RNAcentral.